GGGCCAGUGGCGCAAUGGAUAAACGCUGCCUGACUACGGAUCAGAAGAUUCUAGGUUCGACUCCUGGCUGGCUCG
Molecule: transfer RNA, 75 nt
Filed under: Ameiurus melas (black bullhead)
Lineage: Eukaryota; Metazoa; Chordata; Actinopteri; Siluriformes; Ictaluridae
Rfam family: tRNA
About the family: Transfer RNA (tRNA) molecules are approximately 80 nucleotides in length. Their secondary structure includes four short double-helical elements and three loops (D, anti-codon, and T loops).
Source: Rfam by way of RNAcentral